GAUGAACGCUAGCUACAGGCUUAACACAUGCAAGUCGAGGGGUCUCGCGGGAGCUUGCUCCCAAGAGACGACCGGCGCACGGGUGAGUAACGCGUAUCCAACCUGCCCUUCAUAUUGGGAUAGCCUUCCGAAAGGAAGAUUAAUACCGAAUAACAUAGAGUGGUUGCCUGAUUUCUCUAUGAAAGCUCCGGCGAUGAAGGAUGGGGAUGCGUUCCAUUAGGUAGUAGGCGGGGUAACGGCCCACCUAGCCAACGAUGGAUAGGGGUUCUGAGAGGAAGGUCCCCCACACUGGAACUGAGACACGGUCCAGACUCCUACGGGAGGCAGCAGUGAGGAAUAUUGGUCAAUGGGCGCAAGCCUGAACCAGCCAAGUAGCGUGAAGGAUGACUGCCCUAUGGGUUGUAAACUGCUUUGCGGGAGAAUAACCGGCGCCACGCGUGGCGCCCUGCAUGUAUCCCGCGAAUAAGGACCGGCUAAUUCCGUGCCAGCAGCC
This 493-nucleotide ribosomal RNA is filed under the name uncultured bacterium. RNAcentral's name for it is "bacterial SSU rRNA". It matches the Rfam family "Bacterial small subunit ribosomal RNA", at positions 28 to 516 of the family's 1533-position model. The record is from RNAcentral.